This 368-nucleotide long non-coding RNA is filed under the name Pan troglodytes (chimpanzee). RNAcentral describes it as "lincRNA". The record is from RNAcentral. Lineage: Eukaryota; Metazoa; Chordata; Mammalia; Primates; Hominidae.
CACUGGGGAUGGAGGGUAGCCGAUGGGGCCCUGAGCAGGACGUGCCUCUUCCGGACUUGACCACAGAACCCAAGCAUGGUUCAAGCGAUUCUCCUGCUUCAGCCUCCUGAGUAGUUGGGAUUACAGAUGCCCGCCACCGCACCCAGUCACAGAUGGACUCUGAGAGAGAAAAUAGCACCCCUGUCCAAACGUCACAUGCCUGGCGGAGGAACGCAGCCUGGCCUGUGCAGCCGAAUGUCGGAGAGUGCACCUUCCUCUCUUAUUUUGUUUUAUUUCCAGGGAAAGGGAAAGGAAGACAUGCAGGUAAUUUAUCAACUAAAUUACAGGCUGACUGAUAAUAAAGCUCCCCGCCCCACAAAAAAAGGAAA